This 1931-nucleotide long non-coding RNA is filed under the name Equus caballus (horse). RNAcentral's name for it is "lncRNA (ENSECAG00000056660.1)". The record is from RNAcentral. Lineage: Eukaryota; Metazoa; Chordata; Mammalia; Perissodactyla; Equidae.
GAACAAUCUAAGAGGCAGUUGGGGAGGCAGCUCUGAGGGGGGAGGACAGUUGGAAGAAUGAGAAAGCUUUCCGAGAGGGAUGCUCAAGGGGGAAAGUUUCCGAUCCUAGAGGACCAGAUGAACCAUAGUGCUGUGAGCCAAAACAGGGAAGCUGGGAGAGGAUGGAGGCUUGAGAGAUAGUGCUCGACAAAUGCUGCCAUUAAUUAGAGGGCAAGAAGAGAAUGAAGGAGCAACUCCAGGGGCUGCAGAGGAAAUCAAGGCGGUGCAGUCACUGGAGCCCUGGGACGAACAGGUUUUCAGAAGUAGAAUGGAGUCAUCAUGAUAUCAAGCAGCAGUGAGAGGACAGGGGAGCGUGCUUUGAGAUGACAAGGAGCUGGCCGAGACCGGAGGCUUCCCGCCCCGAGCCGGAGCCAGGAGUCCCCCAGAGGCGCAGCUGAGGAUGCCCGCACCUGCGGAGAGUCGGGACAGGAGCCCUCUUCCCCAGACGGGCGGCCCACGCACGGAGCUGCCUCCGCUCCAAGCCCGGUGGCCGCGGCCACGUCCACGCAUCCGCUCGGAGAGCCGUUGCCCCGGGGAGGGCAGCGUGAGAGGGCUGGCCACGCAUCUCUGCUGACUUCAUCUCCCAGCGAGGGGAGGACGGCGGCGGCGGAGUGCAAGCCCGAUGGAAAGCCAGACUGGACUCCGAAUGCCCCCACCGGCUGGGGGCCCUCUGCACGCUUCGCGGUGGUCUUCGGACCCGGAGCGCCCGGCCAGGCCUGCAGUUCUGCCACUGCUGGCUGUGCCACCUGGAAAAGUUAUCUAAACCUCUCUGUACCCCAGUCUCCUUCUUCGUCACCUGGUGAUCAUAACUGUCCUGACCUCAUUGGAUGGCUAUGAGGUUUAAACGAGUGAAGCGGCCCAAGUUCUCCCAGCAGACUGUGGACUCUGAACGGAAACAAAGGACAGGCAUAAGGAGCACCCUGAGCCAGGCUUCUGGGCAGUUUCCGGGCCCCCAUCUCUUCAGCGUCUCCCCUGCCCCUGCCAUGGGACCAGUGUGUACAGGUCAGCUCCUGGGCUGUGGCAGACAGACUUGUCCCCGUGGGAUGUCUGCCGGGUUGGAAGACUGACACCCCCGAAGGAGGAGGCUCAUCCCAGAGGGUGGCACUUUCUCUGAAAGGUGAGUAGGACUCCCCAAAUUUGGAACCAGCUGAGGCCCUGUGAGGCCUGGGGCAGCCACAGAACGCCGGCUGGAAGUGGAGGAAGCAUCUGGCACAUCGACUCUAGCACCCACAGUAAAUAUUAUUCCCACGGCUGCCAUUCCAUGAUAACUAUGUGCCAGGCACUGUGCUAAGUGUGUGUGCAACUAAGAUUACCUGAGUCCUCUCAGAACACUCUGAGGAAGACACAUGCUGACCCACAUCUCAUACUGUGACAGGAACACAAAUAUUAACGAGUAGGGGGGCUGUGUUUUUGCCUGUGUAUUAGCUUCCUGUUGCUGCUGUAACCAAUUUCCACAAACAUUGUGGCUUAAAACAACACAAAUCUAUUGUCUUGCAGCUCUGAGGAUCAGAAGUCCAAAAUGGGCUAAAAUCAAGGUAUCGGUAGGCCCGUGGCACUUCUGCAGGCGCUGAGGGAGAGUCUGUUUUCCUGCUUUUCUGAGUUUCUAGAUGCUUCCUGCUUCCAUCUGCAAAGCCAGCAGUGGCUGGCUGACUCUUACAUCUUGUCGCUCUGACUCUGAUUUCUGCCUCCCUCUUUCACGUCUAAGGACCCUUGUGAUUACUUUGGGUGCACGUGGAUAGUCUCCGUAAGGUCAGCUGAUUAGCAACCUUAAUUCUUCUACAACCCUACGGCCCCUUUGCCAGGUGGGGUAAUGUGUUCACUACAUCUGGUGCCUAGGGCUCAGAUAUCUUAGGGGGGCCAUUAUUCUGGGGGGUUGAGGGGUACUAGGUGAG